RNAcentral lists this ribosomal RNA (395 nucleotides) under uncultured Fusibacter sp. RNAcentral's name for it is "bacterial SSU rRNA". It matches the Rfam family "Bacterial small subunit ribosomal RNA", at positions 384 to 793 of the family's 1533-position model. The record is from RNAcentral. Lineage: Bacteria; Bacillati; Bacillota; Clostridia; Eubacteriales; Fusibacteraceae.
UGAUGCAGCAACGCCGUGUGAGUGAUGAAGGCCUUCGGGUCGUAAAACUCUGUCCUAUGGGAAGAAAACAAUGAAGGUACCAUAAUGAGGAACCCCCGGCUAACUACGUGCCAGCAGCCGCGGUAAUACGUAGGGGGCAAGCGUUAUCCGGAAUCACUGGGCGUAAAGGGUGCGUAGGUGGCUGAUCAAGCCAGGGGUGAAAGGCAUUGGCUCAACCAAUGUAAGCCUUUGGAACUGAUCGGCUUGAGUGCAGGAGAGGUAAGUGGAAUUCCUAGUGUAGAGGUGAAAUUCGUAGAUAUUAGGAGGAACACCAGUGGCGAAGGCGACUUACUGGACUGUAACUGACACUGAGGCACGAAAGCGUGGGGAGCGAACAGGAUUAGAUACCCUGGUAG